Molecule: ribosomal RNA, 690 nt
Filed under: Resiniporus pseudogilvescens
Lineage: Eukaryota; Fungi; Basidiomycota; Agaricomycetes; Polyporales; Irpicaceae
Description: partial large subunit ribosomal RNA
Rfam family: Eukaryotic large subunit ribosomal RNA
Source: RNAcentral
UCCGUGUUGGACCGUGUAUAAGUCUCUUGGAACAGAGCGUCAUAGAGGGUGAGAAUCCCGUCUUUAACAUGGACUACCAAUGCUUUGUGAUGCGCUCUCAAAGAGUCGAGUUGUUUGGGAAUGCAGCUCAAAAUGGGUGGUAAAUUCCAUCUAAAGCUAAAUAUUGGCGAGAGACCGAUAGCGAACAAGUACCGUGAGGGAAAGAUGAAAAGCACUUUGGAAAGAGAGUUAAACAGUACGUGAAAUUGCUGAAAGGGAAACGCUUGAAGUCAGUCGCGUUAGUUAGAACUCAGCCAAGCUUGCUUGGUGCAUUUUCUAGUUUAACGGGCCAGCAUCAGUUUUGGCUGCAGGAUAAAGAUUAGAGAAAUGUGGCAGCCUCGGCUGUGUUAUAGUCUCUGAUUGUAUACUGUGACCAGGACUGAGGAUCUCAGCACGCAUUUGUUGUUGCUUAGGAUGCUGGCGUAAUGGCUUUAAACGACCCGUCUUGAAACACGGACCAAGGAGUCUAACAAACCUGCGAGUAUUUGGGUGAUUAAACCCGAGUGCGUAAUGAAAGUGAAAGUUGGGAUCCCUGUCGUGGGGAGCACCGACGCCCGGACCAGACCUUCUGUGACGGAUCUGCGGUAGAGCAUGUUUGUUGGGACCCGAAAGAUGGUGAACUAUGCCUGAAUAGGGUGAAGCCAGAGGAAA